GAAAGACAGGCCCCGAGGGGGAAGAUCUGCAGCGGAGAAGCUCCCGCAGCUUCCGAACUCUCCGGCCGACGGAGAUUUUUUUCUCCAUCACAGUUUUUGGGGCUGCGGUUAUGCAAAGGAGUAGCUGGGAGUGUGAUUGGAAAGGCUCGCCCGGCGCUGAGAUGCAGCCACCUCUGGGGUGGGGCAGAUGAGAAACAGCCCCAGAGUGUUA
Molecule: long non-coding RNA, 211 nt
Organism: Mauremys reevesii (Reeves's turtle)
Lineage: Eukaryota; Metazoa; Chordata; Testudines; Geoemydidae
Exons: 2
Source: RefSeq, a predicted model, not a curated record